GGAAGAAAUAGAGUAGCUUCGAAGCCAUUGAAAUCUCUGAGAGUGGAAGAAAGAGAAAGGGAUAUAGUAGUGCGAUAUUUGUCACAGAUUCUCAAAUCGGGGAUUUUGACUGAGUUAACUCACCGAGUUCUAUUCUUGAAAAACCCCAAACUUGACAAUGGUUCAGCUAAUGAGUACCAAGAAAUCUUCAGUGAAGGUUGAAGUUGAGGAGUCUUUGGAGGAUCAACUCGGUCCUAUUCACAAACGCUCCAAACUCGAUUCGUCUUUGCAGAUGAUUCCUGUUGCUUCUCUUUGCAAUCCACUUGACGAGCCUAGCCCGCUCGGAUUGCGUCUCAAAAAGAGUCCUUCCUUUUGGAUUUAAUACAAAUGAAGCUUUCUCAACAAAAUAAUAUGAAGAAAGAUCACAAGGCUACUGGUAGUACUGCUACUGAUAAGCUGAAAGCCUCUAAUUUUCCUGCUUCGCUUCUGAAAGUUGGGAGCUGGGAGUAUAAGUCGAGAUAUGAAGGGGACUUGGUGGCAAAAUGUUAUUUUGCGAAGCACAAGCUAGUGUGGGAAGUGCUUGAUGGUGGUCUUAAGAAUAAGAUCGAAAUUCAGUGGUCGGAUAUUGUGGCUAUCAAGGCGAAUUUCCCUGAUGAUGGACCUGAAACCUUGGACGUUGUGUUGGCUAGACAGCCCCUUUUCUUUAGGGAGACCAAUCCACAACCUAGGAAGCAUACUUUGUGGCAAGCAACGUCAGAUUUUACUGGUGGACAAGCCAGCAUGCACAGGCGUCAUUUUCUGCAGUGCCAACAAGGGUUCUUAAGCAAGCAUUUCGAAAAACUUAUUCAGUGUGAUCCUCGUCUCAACUUUCUAAGUCAACAACCUGAAAUUUUGUUGGAAACUCCAUAUUUCGAACAAAGGCAUUGUACAUUUGGUGACUUGAAUGAAACGACUGAGGUGCUUGAUUCAAAGGCUGAGGAGACACGUGCUGUGUUUGCUUUAGGGGAUGCAGCAUCACCUUCUGGAGUCCUUUCUUCUUCCUUGAAUGAUGAGCAGCAAGUUUUCAUUGGCAGGACUCCCGAAAGUUCUUCUCAGGAAACUUCUUCGCCUAGCACAGUGAUGGAUAACGAUGCAGCUGAAAAAAUAAGGAGUUUGAAAAGAGGAAGGCAAAUACCAAGCCAUUGGGAUCAAAUUAAGGUGCCUGGACUUCAGCCAUCCAUGUCAAUGAGCGACCUAGUUAACCACCUUGGACAAUGCAUCUCAGAACAGAUGACAUCUGGAAAUCCUACUAUUUCAAAUGGCGACCUGAAGAACAGUGACAUUCUGGAGGAGAUUACUCAAUAUUUGCUUAGCGACUCUCAACUUACAUCAGCAUCAGACGAGCAGCGCCUCAUGUCAAGGGUCAAUUCUCUUUGCUGUCUGCUGCAGAGAGAUCCUGGAUCAGCACGGAAUUUGCAGGCUAAAAGUUGCAUUGAUCUUGAAGUAGAUAGUAAAGUGAGAAGAGGUGAAACUAAAUCCAUCAGCACAACAGUCUGCCAGGAUAAAUUUGUUGAGAGUUUUCCAGUGCCUGACGACCAGUCCAAUAGUGUUUCCAGCUGCAAGCAGGCACCAACCAUGUCAAGGAAGGAUUCAGUUGGGGACCUACUGCUUAAUCUGCCAAGGAUUGCUUCCCUCCCACAAUUUUUGCAUAAUAUGUAGGGAGCUUCAGAUCAGCAAGUGGAAAGAAUGAUGUAUGCCGUCAAUUUCAACUAUCUUGCGCAGGAAGUCUCUCCUUGAUAUGUGGUUAUUGUGUUUGCACUUUACUUUUUGUAAAUUGUAGAAGCUUUAAGGAUUUAGAAAUAUCAUAUUGAUGAAGGAUCCUCGCAUGUUUAUUCCAGGAACAUGGUAGUCCUUUGUCUGUACAGCCUGCUGUAAUCCUAUUAGCGUCUGGAGUGUAUUACAAUCUUUUCUAGUCCAUUCAGUUUUAAAUGUAGUGUAUUUUAUGUAGGACAAAUCCCUCAAAUUAUAAUGCUUUUGCCCCAAUCGUUCUGUUA
Molecule: RNA transcript, 2012 nt
Organism: Hevea brasiliensis (rubber tree)
Lineage: Eukaryota; Viridiplantae; Streptophyta; Magnoliopsida; Malpighiales; Euphorbiaceae
Exons: 6
Source: RefSeq, a predicted model, not a curated record